RNAcentral lists this transfer RNA (72 nucleotides) under Paraliobacillus ryukyuensis. It matches the Rfam family "tRNA". Rfam says of the family: Transfer RNA (tRNA) molecules are approximately 80 nucleotides in length. Their secondary structure includes four short double-helical elements and three loops (D, anti-codon, and T loops). The record is from Rfam by way of RNAcentral. RNAcentral also lists the same sequence under 2 other names. Lineage: Bacteria; Bacillati; Bacillota; Bacilli; Caryophanales; Bacillaceae.
GUCUCGUUAGCUCAGCGGGAGAGCACUUGCUUGACAGGCAAGGGGUCACUGGUUCAAUCCCAGUACGAGACA